Molecule: small nuclear RNA, 162 nt
Filed under: Pteropus vampyrus (large flying fox)
Lineage: Eukaryota; Metazoa; Chordata; Mammalia; Chiroptera; Pteropodidae
Description: U2 spliceosomal RNA (ENSPVAG00000027923.1)
Rfam family: U2 spliceosomal RNA (bases 1-108)
About the family: U2 is a small nuclear RNA (snRNA) component of the spliceosome (involved in pre-mRNA splicing).
Source: RNAcentral
AUCACUUCUCGGCCUUUUGGCUAAGAUCAAGUGUAGUAUCUGUUCUUAUCAGAAUUCUACUCAUCGUAACACUGCUACUGAUUCCUUAUGGGAAUGAAAGGACUCUAUGGGCCUCAGUUUCCAAAUCUGUAAUCUGAGGUGGUUGGAUCAGUUGGCCUCUAA